Molecule: ribosomal RNA, 451 nt
Filed under: uncultured bacterium
Lineage: Bacteria
Description: partial 16S ribosomal RNA
Rfam family: Bacterial small subunit ribosomal RNA
Source: RNAcentral
AGCGAACGCUGGCGGCAGGCUUAACACAUGCAAGUCGAACGCUCGUAGCAAUACGGGAGUGGCAGACGGGUGAGUAACGCGUGGGAAUAUGCCUUUAGGUUCGGAAUAACUCAGGGAAACUUGAGCUAAUACCGGAUAAGCCCGUGAGGGGAAAGAUUUAUCGCCAAAAGAUUAGCCCGCGUCCGAUUAGCUAGUUGGUGAGGCAACUGCUCACCAAGGGGACGAUCGGUAGCUGGUCUGAGAGGAUGAUCAGCCACAUUGGGACUAAGAAACGGCCCAACCUCGACGGGGAGGCAGCAGUGGUGAAGUUUGGAAAAUGGGCGCAAGCGUGAUCCAGCCAUGCCGCGGGAGUGAUGAAGGCCUUAGGGUUGUAAAGCUCUUUUGUCCGGGAAGAUAAUGACGGUACCGGAAGAAUAAGCCCCGGCUAACUUCGUGCCAGCCGCCGCGGUAA